UGGUGAGGGGGAAAAAGCAAUGGAGUGUGCUCCUGAGGGACUGAAACUAUACUCUGAUCUCUUUUCAGACAGAGAAUUGAACGAGGAAGACAGCGCCCUGAAAGAUGAGCAGACAGUUAACAAUGGUGUAAAUAAGGAAGAACUGUCUGCCAUGCAGAGCAGCACCCUGAGAUCCAAGUGUGCAGUUGAUGAUGGUGUAACUGAGGAAGAACUGAUGCAGGUUGCAGAAGGUGGAAAUGAGGAGCACCUGAACAACUCUCCCAGCUAAGAAGGUAUGUGAGAGUGAAUCUUCCUGUGUCUUGGAAGAGUGUUCUGACUGGCACAGAGGUUGGGAGUGGCAAUGCUGGGUCAGGCUAUGUAUGACUCUCUGACCCCUUUAUACUCAGGUAGAAAACAAGAGUG
This 402-nucleotide long non-coding RNA is filed under the name Lepidothrix coronata (blue-crowned manakin). RNAcentral's name for it is "lncRNA (ENSLCOG00000001474.1)". Lineage: Eukaryota; Metazoa; Chordata; Aves; Passeriformes; Pipridae. The record is from RNAcentral.